UACAUAGGGAGCGAGCGUUGUCCGGAAUUACUGUGUGUAAAGGGAGCGUAGGCGGGAUCUCAAGUCAGGUGCGAAAUGCAGGGGCUCAACCCCUGAACUGCACUUGAAACUGUGGUUCUUGAGUGAAGUAGAGGUAAGCUGAAUUCCUAGUGUAGCGGUGAAAUGCGUAGAUAUUAGGAGGAACAUCAGUGGCGAAGGCGGCUUACUGGGCUUUAACUGACGCUGAGGCUCGAAAGCGUGGGGAGCAAAC
This 250-nucleotide ribosomal RNA is filed under the name uncultured prokaryote. RNAcentral's name for it is "partial 16S ribosomal RNA". It matches the Rfam family "Bacterial small subunit ribosomal RNA", at positions 524 to 773 of the family's 1533-position model. The record is from RNAcentral.